RNAcentral lists this ribosomal RNA (425 nucleotides) under uncultured bacterium. Its description in RNAcentral is "partial 16S ribosomal RNA". It matches the Rfam family "Bacterial small subunit ribosomal RNA", at positions 354 to 796 of the family's 1533-position model. The record is from RNAcentral.
GUGGGGAAUCUUAGACAAUGGGCGCAAGCCUGAUCUAGCCAUGCCGCGUGAGCGAUGAAGGCCUUAGGGUUGUAAAGCUCUUUCGUGGGGGAAGAUAAUGACUGUACCCCAAGAAGAAGCCCCGGCUAACUCCGUGCCAGCAGCCGCGGUAAUACGGAGGGGGCUAGCGUUGUUCGGAAUUACUGGGCGUAAAGCGCACGUAGGCGGAUUGGAAAGUUGGGGGUGAAAUCCCGGGGCUCAACCCCGGAACUGCCUUCAAAACUCCCAGUCUUGAGUUCGAGAGAGGUGAGUGGAAUUCCGAGUGUAGAGGUGAAAUUCGUAGAUAUUCGGAGGAACACCAGUGGCGAAGGCGGCUCACUGGCUCGAUACUGACGCUGAGGUGCGAAAGCGUGGGGAGCAAACAGGAUUAGAUACCCUUGUAGUCC